UCCCCAACUGUCACACCCCUCCCUCCUCCUCACUCCCUCGCCACACCGUCGCACCAUCUCCCUCCUCCCUCAUCAUCAGCCACAGCACUAGGAGAUUUGCCGCCGACGAGAUCCAGCGCCUGGCAAGGUCCUCGGGUCGGCUGUCGCGCCCGCCACACUGUCGACCAGAUCUGCGCCCUUGACUCCCUCUUCUCUCGCGUCGCGCGGUGCCUCUGCUCCACCAUGCCGCGGUUACCUCGUGGAUGACGGGGCCAUGGACCUGUCCUUGAAGGAGAGAAGGAAUAUGACGGAGAGAGAACAGAGAAGGAAGGAGAGGCAGGAGAAGGAGAGAGGAAAGAGGAGAGGGAGGUGCAGCGGCAGAUGUGAGAUGGUCAUCGGCCGACAUUAGUCAUUCAUCCAUUCGCAUCUCUCCUCCUCUCCUGCUCUCGACCACCAAUGUGCCCCCUCCUCCUUCCCUUCUCUUCUCACAAUCUCCUCUUGUUUGGAGCUAGCUGAGUGAUCCACGGCGAGGAAGAUGGGGAAGACAGAGCCAACACCGCCGAUGCCCACGGGCCACUUCAGUCAGGUGCCUUCCAUACUUCCUCCUUCAGGAUUUCCAAUCCAAGCAGAGCAUAAAAUGGAGCCAGCAACAGGGAUGAUGGGAGAAACAAUGGUGGCUGAAUAGUGGACACCCGAAGCUGGCUGAGAAAGAGGGAGGCAGUGCGUGGCGGAAGAGGGCGUCCAUGUGGUAUCUGUUUCUGGUCAUCUUUAGCUUCCAGAUUCUGAACAGGGAGUAGCACAAGCAAUUAUGUGCUCUGUGGUAGAUUUCAAAAGAGACCCAAGGCCCGGAGUAUCUGAGCCUGCUGAAGACUUUGUUCGACAAAUGCUGGAUCCAGAUCCAAUCACACGGUUUACUACAACACACGUACUCGGCGAGCAUUAGUGAUGUUACCUUUCCCAUUGUGUAAUAGCAUACAAAAUGUUUUCUCUCUCUCAUAAUGGUGAAUUCAAUCUUACAUUGGGGUAUGUAUUUUUUAUGCCAUAGCCAUGACCAAUUGAUAAUUAUCUUGCAGGUUUUUAAUAAUUGCAUCAAAUGAUUUCACUAUUUAUUUUGUGGCAUUGUUGAUUGCAUCAGUAGAACAUCCAUGGUUACAUGAUUCUAAAAAGAAUCCUGACAUUUCUCAAUAUAAUAGGUGGUGUCUGUCGGUAGGGUCUCCCUAAACACGCGUCAUCAAAUCCAACUACAAGCUACACGACAAGCUAUGAUUGAAUACCAUGUACAAGUAUGGGGACAGAAUAGUAAACAGCAAAUAAAGGAUACUAGACGGAGAUACUGGACGGACGCAUGGAGCAUGAACUCCUCUUUUUCAGGGGCCACCUUACUUGUGUGCCCUCAGGCCGAGGAGACCUUUCUAAGAUUGGAGAUGCGAACACUAGCUGUUUGUAAAUGCACAAGGAGGAGUGCUUAGGGGAGGACGAUAGCUUUCAGUGUACAUGGAGGAUGUGAAAGCAACGACAGAGGAGCUCGCUGUAGCUGCUCGCCUACUCCGGGAAUCGUCCCUCUUGACAGAAGCAAGCACGAUGCCAUGUCCUAGAGUCUACUUGUUUUAGGUAGCAUUGCUUUCUGGAAUACAUCAUUGGAACCUGGUAACAUUCACUGCUUACAGUCAGCAAGACAAGAAGAACAUGAUUGUGUGUUAUUAAUAUGGUGAGUGAUUGAAGAGGAGGCAUGAGGAGAAGAGCAGUCCAAUGGGCGGGUGGAGCAUGUGACUUGUUGAUGUUAGUUUUCAUUUCCGGGAAGAAUAAAUUUUCUAUGAUUUGAGUGUAUGCUGAUGUGUGAAAGUCAAUCAUUUGGAUCCCCAACUAGACUAUUGUGUGUGUUCAAUAUUUUAUUGUGCAUUGAUAAAAUGUUUAAGUGCCAGUGUGCACAAGUUGAAUUUUGAAACAGAUGAGAGGAAAACUCUGCAUAAAGCUUUCUUC
This is a long non-coding RNA of Triticum urartu, 1959 nucleotides long. RefSeq lists it as uncharacterized. The record is from RefSeq and is a predicted model, not a curated record. NCBI's taxonomy places the organism in Eukaryota, Viridiplantae, Streptophyta, Magnoliopsida, Poales, Poaceae.